GUGGCAUACUUCAAUAAAACUGAAGAUGUUGAAAAGGCUCCCUUGUAAUCCAGAGCUGCUGAAGUGUGAGCUCCCACUCUGUUGGUCUUCUUGUAGGAAGGAUCUUUAUUCUAUGCCUUUGGCCUCAUGGCACUCCUCUCAGAAGACACUGGGGCCUCCUGAAGACUCCUGAGGAGGCACCAGUUUCUGAGGAAGUUGUCCUCAAAGCCAGGAUGUACUGUAUUCCACCGCUCCCAGCCCAGAGGAAGGGGCUUCCGGGCUGCUAUUCCACCACUCCCAGCCCAGAGGAAGAGGCUUCUGGGUCGCUGUUCCACCACUCCCAGCCCAGAGGAAGGAGCUUCCAGGCAGCCAUUCCACUGUUUCCAGCCCAGAGGAAGGGGCUUCCAGGCCAAUGUUCCACCACUCCUAGCCCAGAGGAGAUUUUAAAGACAGAAGACUUCAAGAUCACUGGAGACAGUCAGUCCUCCAGGCAUGCUGCCAGCGGUCACUCCUCCUGGCCCU
Molecule: long non-coding RNA, 501 nt
Organism: Heterocephalus glaber (naked mole-rat)
Lineage: Eukaryota; Metazoa; Chordata; Mammalia; Rodentia; Bathyergidae
Source: Ensembl